GACGAACGCUGGCGGCGUGCUUAACACAUGCAAGUCGAACGGAAAGGCCCUGCUUUUGUGGGGUGCUCGAGUAGCGAACGGGUGAGUAACACGUGAGUAACCUGCCCUUGACUUUGGGAUAACUUCAGGAAACUGGGGCUAAUACCGGAUAGGAGCUCCUGCUGCAUGGUGGGGGUUGGAAAGUUUCGGCGGUUGGGGAUGGACUCGCGGCUUAUCAGCUUGUUGGUGGGGUAGUGGCUUACCAAGGCUUUGACGGGUAGCCGGCCUGAGAGGGUGACCGGCCACAUUGGGACUGAGAUACGGCCCAGACUCCUACGGGAGGCAGCAGUGGGGAAUAGUGCACAAUGGGCGGAAGCCUGAUGCAGCAACGCCGCGUGCGGGAUGACGGCCUUCGGGUUGUAAACCGCUUUCGCCUGUGACGAAGCGUGAGUGACGGUAAUGGGUAAAGAAGCACCGGCUAACUACGUG
RNAcentral lists this ribosomal RNA (468 nucleotides) under uncultured bacterium. RNAcentral's name for it is "partial 16S ribosomal RNA". It matches the Rfam family "Bacterial small subunit ribosomal RNA", at positions 28 to 507 of the family's 1533-position model. The record is from RNAcentral.